RNAcentral lists this transfer RNA (99 nucleotides) under Lachnospiraceae bacterium. Its description in RNAcentral is "tRNA-OTHER". It matches the Rfam family "tRNA". Rfam says of the family: Transfer RNA (tRNA) molecules are approximately 80 nucleotides in length. Their secondary structure includes four short double-helical elements and three loops (D, anti-codon, and T loops). Further hydrogen bonds mediate the characteristic L-shaped molecular structure. tRNAs have two regions of fundamental functional importance: the anti-codon, which is responsible for specific mRNA codon recognition, and the 3' end, to which the tRNAs corresponding amino acid is attached (by aminoacyl-tRNA synthetases). tRNAs cope with the degeneracy of the genetic code in two manners: having more than one tRNA (with a specific anti-codon) for a particular amino acid; and 'wobble' base-pairing, i.e. permitting non-standard base-pairing at the 3rd anti-codon position. The record is from RNAcentral. Lineage: Bacteria; Bacillati; Bacillota; Clostridia; Lachnospirales; Lachnospiraceae.
GGCUCGAUAGUUCAUUGGUAGGACGUCCCCCUUCAUAAGUACAUUUGUUAAAAUGUACUUAUGAAGGGGAAAGAUGUGGUUCGAUUCCACAUCGAGCCA